This is a non-coding RNA of Pelobates cultripes (western spadefoot toad), 220 nucleotides long. The record is from the annotation of a GenBank genome assembly. Lineage: Eukaryota; Metazoa; Chordata; Amphibia; Anura; Pelobatidae.
UAGAGCACUUUUUCAAUGUGCUCCACAACGAGAAGGCGACGACGCAUUCGUAUGUCAAUCCAUAUCAACUUUCCAUGCCAUUGACUGCGCCUACCAUGGUGACCAUGGGUAACGGGGAAUCAGGGUUCGAUUCCAUACAGGGACCCUGACAAAUGGCUGCCACAUGCAAGGAAGGCAUUAGGCGCGCAAAUGACCUACUGCUGAUGCGGGAAGGUAGUGA